UGCCAGCCGCCGCGGUAAUACGGAGGGUGCAAGCAUUAAUCGGAAUUAUUGGGCGUAAAGGGCGCGUAGGCGGAUAUGUAAGUCAGAUGUGAAAUACCGAGGCUUAACUUCGGUGCUGCAUUUGAAACUACAAAUCUAGAGGAUAGACGGAGAAAACGGAAUUCUACAUGUAGCGGUGGAAUGCGUGGAUAUGUAGAAGAACACCUGUGGCGAAAGCGGUUUUCUAGUUUAUUCCUGACGCUGAGGCGCGAGAGCAAGGGGAGCAAACAGGAUUAGAUA
RNAcentral lists this ribosomal RNA (279 nucleotides) under uncultured bacterium. RNAcentral's name for it is "partial 16S ribosomal RNA". It matches the Rfam family "Bacterial small subunit ribosomal RNA", at positions 506 to 784 of the family's 1533-position model. The record is from RNAcentral.